CAGAGAUCAUGACCUGAGGAGAAGUUGGACGCUCAACUGACUGAGCCACCCAGGCGCCCCGUGAAUCGCUUUUAUUUCGGUAUGCAUCCACACCUCAGCAUUUAGUGGUCCUGAACAGAAAAGUGGAAAAACGCAGCGAUUUGCCAGGAAGUCAAGCCCGCCAAUUUCGGGGAUCUGCUGUGCACGCCGAGUUCUUUUUUAAUCCCUGCUGAGGACCGUGAGAAACAGCAGCACCAAAACCAAAGUAUGCAACGAAUUCAAGGUUCUUUUUGUUCCAGUUGCCACAUUCCAAACUAGACCCAAACGGAUUGCAAGAUGACCACAUGAGAACCCUGUGUAAAACUUCUUCAAUUUUUAAAAGCAAAAGCAAUUACGGGAAAAGAAAAUUCAUUCAGAGGGAUCGUGGGUGCUUACAAGUGUCUUCUGGGGCCUUUCUCCAAGUUUAACCACCAAGAACUUUGAGAGCUGGCAGGUGUGAGUACCCCUGGUGACUGUUCUUUUCACUUUAUCAAAACCUGAGCUAAAAAACCGCAUCACCUGACGUUG
Felis catus (domestic cat) is the source of this 546-nucleotide long non-coding RNA. RefSeq lists it as uncharacterized. Lineage: Eukaryota; Metazoa; Chordata; Mammalia; Carnivora; Felidae. The record is from RefSeq and is a predicted model, not a curated record. The transcript is spliced from 2 exons.